CCUACGGGAGGCAGCAGUGAGGAAGAUUGGUCAAUGGACGAGAGUCUGAACCAGCCAAGUAGCGUGAAGGAUGACUGCCCUAUGGGUUGUAAACUUCUUUUAUAAAGGAAUAAAACGAGGCACGUGUGCCUUUUUGCAUGUACGUUAUGAAUAAGGAUCGGCUAACUCCGUGCCAGCAGCCGCGGUAAUACGGAGGAUCCGAGCGUGAUCCGGAUUGAGUGGGUUUAAAGGGAGCGUAGAUGGGUUGUUAAGUCAGUGGGGAAAGUUUGCGGCUCAACCGUAAAAUUGCAAUUGAUACUGGCAGUCUUGAUUACAGUUGAGGUCGGCGGAAUUCGUGGUGUAGCGGUGAAAUGCUUCGAUAUCACGCAUAACCCCGAUUG
RNAcentral lists this ribosomal RNA (380 nucleotides) under uncultured bacterium. RNAcentral's name for it is "partial 16S ribosomal RNA". It matches the Rfam family "Bacterial small subunit ribosomal RNA", at positions 338 to 715 of the family's 1533-position model. The record is from RNAcentral.